GAUCCUGGCUCAGGACGAACGCUGGCGGCGCGCCUAACACAUGCAAGUCGAACGAGCGAGAGAGAGUUUGCUUUCUCGAGCGAGUGGCGAACGGGUGAGUAACGCGUGAGGAACCUGCCUCAAAGAGGGGGACAACAGUUGGAAACGACUGCUAAUACCGCAUAAGCCCACGACCCGGCAUCGGGUAGAGGGAAAAGGAGCAAUCCGCUUUGAGAUGGCCUCGCGUCCGGUUAGCUAGUUGGUGAGG
RNAcentral lists this ribosomal RNA (247 nucleotides) under uncultured bacterium. RNAcentral describes it as "partial 16S ribosomal RNA". It matches the Rfam family "Bacterial small subunit ribosomal RNA", at positions 15 to 257 of the family's 1533-position model. The record is from RNAcentral.